This 71-nucleotide transfer RNA is filed under the name Operophtera brumata (winter moth). It matches the Rfam family "tRNA". Rfam says of the family: Transfer RNA (tRNA) molecules are approximately 80 nucleotides in length. Their secondary structure includes four short double-helical elements and three loops (D, anti-codon, and T loops). The record is from Rfam by way of RNAcentral. Lineage: Eukaryota; Metazoa; Arthropoda; Insecta; Lepidoptera; Geometridae.
UCCGAUAUGGUCUAGUGGCUAGGAUACCUGGCUCUCACCCUCACGCUCGGGUUCGAUUCCCGGUAUCGGAA